RNAcentral lists this ribosomal RNA (116 nucleotides) under Pteropus alecto (black flying fox). The record is from RNAcentral. Lineage: Eukaryota; Metazoa; Chordata; Mammalia; Chiroptera; Pteropodidae.
UUCUGCGGCCAUGCCAUGCUGAACAAGCCCGAUGUCUGAUCUCGGAAGCAAAGCAGGGUCGGGCCUGAUUAGUACUUGGAUGGGAGACCACCUAAGAGGACCAGGUGCUGUGGGCC